AUGGGAACGCGAAGAACCUUACCUAGACUUGACAUCUUCUGCAUUAAUCGUAAUGGAUGAAAUCCCUUCGGGGACAGAAUGACAGGUGGUGCAUGGUUGUCGUCAGCUCGUGUCGUGAGAUGUUGGGUUAAGUCCCGCAACGAGCGCAACCCCUAUUAUUAGUUGUCUAACAUUAAGUUAGAGCACUCUAGUGAGACUGCCGGGUUAACCGGGUAGGAAGGUGGGGAGUGACGUCAAAUACAUCAUGCCCCUUACUGUCUAGGGCGUACACACGUGCUACAAUGGUGGGAACGAAAGAAGAUGCAUUACCGUCAAGGUGGAGCUAAACUACAAAACCCCAACUCCACGUUCGGUAUUGUAGGCUGAAACUACGCCUACAUGAAGCUGGAGUUGCUAGUAAUCGCGAAUCAGAAUGUCGCGGUGAAUACGUUCCCGGGUCUGUACACACCG
Molecule: ribosomal RNA, 450 nt
Filed under: uncultured bacterium
Lineage: Bacteria
Description: bacterial SSU rRNA
Rfam family: Bacterial small subunit ribosomal RNA
Source: RNAcentral